GGGGAUGACUGGCUUCGACGGGGAAGGCUGGUCCUGGACUGCAAGCCGAGCACGCUUACAACUCGUAAAACUGGAAGCAACCAUUAAGUGCCAAUACAAACGCACGCACAUAUAAUGCUCUUCCUCUCGCUGCUUAAUUGUAGCUAGAUAGAGUGUUAUGAUGAGUCCAUCGCGGACUCCCGUCUACCCCAAGCUUUCGUCGGCUGCGCGGGUUUGUAGGCGACAUGAUCGUCGACGUGCGCUGCAUUGAUACCGAUAAAUGCAGGUAAGCGGUCCUUUCGGGGAUCAUCGGCUCGCGGAUGGCUGACCCGGUUAGUCGGGGCGCCCAUUCGUAAAACUCAAAUAGACUAACUAUGCUUGCAGACGUUCAGAGGCUGGAUUUUUCGGACGCGGGUUCGAUUCCGCCAUCUCCACUC
RNAcentral lists this transfer-messenger RNA (416 nucleotides) under Chloroflexota bacterium. RNAcentral's name for it is "Chloroflexi bacterium transfer-messenger RNA". It matches the Rfam family "transfer-messenger RNA". From Rfam's summary of the family: Bacterial tmRNA, also known as 10Sa RNA or SsrA, is named for its dual tRNA and mRNA-like properties. Lineage: Bacteria; Bacillati; Chloroflexota. The record is from RNAcentral.